RNAcentral lists this ribosomal RNA (828 nucleotides) under Serinicoccus sp. Its description in RNAcentral is "bacterial SSU rRNA". It matches the Rfam family "Bacterial small subunit ribosomal RNA", at positions 38 to 870 of the family's 1533-position model. The record is from RNAcentral. Lineage: Bacteria; Bacillati; Actinomycetota; Actinomycetes; Micrococcales; Ornithinimicrobiaceae.
GGCGGCGUGCUUAACACAUGCAAGUCGAACGCUGAAGCUCCAGCUUGCUGGGGUGGAUGAGUGGCGAACGGGUGAGUAACACGUGAGUAACCUGCCCUCCACUUCGGGAUAAGCACUGGAAACGGUGUCUAAUACUGGAUGUGACAUCAGCCUGCAUGGGUUGGUGUGGAAAGAUUUUUUGGUGGUGGAUGGACUCGCGGCCUAUCAGCUUGUUGGUGGGGUAAUGGCCUACCAAGGCGACGACGGGUAGCCGGCCUGAGAGGGUGACCGGCCACACUGGGACUGAGACACGGCCCAGACUCCUACGGGAGGCAGCAGUGGGGAAUAUUGCACAAUGGGCGAAAGCCUGAUGCAGCGACGCCGCGUGAGGGAUGACGGCCUUCGGGUUGUAAACCUCUUUCAGCCUUGACGAAGCCCUUUUGGGGUGACGGUAGGGGCAGAAGAAGCACCGGCUAACUACGUGCCAGCAGCCGCGGUAAUACGUAGGGUGCGAGCGUUGUCCGGAAUUAUUGGGCGUAAAGAGCUUGUAGGCGGUUUGUCGCGUCUGCUGUGAAAGCCCGGGGCUUAACUCCGGGUCUGCAGUGGGUACGGGCAGGCUAGAGUGUGGUAGGGGAGACUGGAAUUCCUGGUGUAGCGGUGGAAUGCGCAGAUAUCAGGAGGAACACCGAUGGCGAAGGCAGGUCUCUGGGCCAUUACUGACGCUGAGAAGCGAAAGCGUGGGGAGCGAACAGGAUUAGAUACCCUGGUAGUCCACGCCGUAAACGUUGGGCGCUAGGUGUGGGUCCCAUUCCACGGGGUCCGUGCCGCAGCUAACGCAUUAAGCGCCCC